RNAcentral lists this ribosomal RNA (504 nucleotides) under Triticum aestivum (bread wheat). RNAcentral's name for it is "partial small subunit ribosomal RNA". The record is from RNAcentral. Lineage: Eukaryota; Viridiplantae; Streptophyta; Magnoliopsida; Poales; Poaceae.
AUGGCCUCAACGACACUGCCGGCUCGCUGCCACCAAACGAAGAAACAUCAAACAAUGAAACGGAUCACAGGCCCAGCAAGAAAACAAAGUAUGACAUGGAAAGCUUGGCUCAUGAACAAAGCCGGAAGGCUCGCACUAGUCAAGUCGGUGCUGAGUGCUAUCCCAGUCCACCAGCUGCUCGCCUUUGCCCCGCCCAAGAAGACACUAAAGCAGCUCGAGAAAAUCCAGCGGGGCUUUUUGUGGGCCGGCCGCGCAGUCGCCAACGGAGGAAACUGUCAUGUCAAUUGGUGCCGCGCCUGCCGCCCCGUGGAAUAUGGUGGCCUUGGGAUCCGAGACCUGGAGCGCGCAGGCCUUGCACUACGGCUGCGAUGGAUGUGGCUCGCCCGCACGGACACGGACCGCGCGUGGCAAGGCCUUGAUCUCCAGUUCUCCAAGGAGGAGCGUGCACUGUUCUUUGCAUCCACUACUAUGAUGCUCGGCGAUGGCCGGACAACACUCUUCUAG